Molecule: ribosomal RNA, 253 nt
Filed under: uncultured bacterium
Lineage: Bacteria
Description: partial 16S ribosomal RNA
Rfam family: Bacterial small subunit ribosomal RNA
Source: RNAcentral
UACGGAGGGUGCAAGCGUUACCCGGAAUCACUGGGCGUAAAGCGUCCGCAGGUGGCAGUUCAAGUCUGCUGUCAAAGACCGGGGCUUAACUUCGGAAAGGCAGUGGAAACUGAACAGCUAGAGUAUGGUAGGGGCAGAGGGAAUUCCUGGUGUAGCGGUGAAAUGCGUAGAGAUCAGGAAGAACAUCGGUGGCGAAGGCGCUCUGCUGGACCAUAACUGACACUCAGGGACGAAAGCUAGGGGAGCGAAUGGG